This 864-nucleotide ribosomal RNA is filed under the name Triticum aestivum (bread wheat). RNAcentral's name for it is "partial small subunit ribosomal RNA". Lineage: Eukaryota; Viridiplantae; Streptophyta; Magnoliopsida; Poales; Poaceae. The record is from RNAcentral.
AUGUCCAUCGUACCGUACGGUGGCGGAUCGGGCGGCGCGGUGGCACAUCCAGCGCCGGUGCUCAUGGGGGAGAACUACGUCACCUGGGCCAUCAAGGUGGAGGCCGACCUGGACGCCGCAGGGCUGUGGGAGGCGGUGGUGUCGCCGGAGGACGCGGCGUCAGCGGUGAUCGCCAAGAAAGACAAGCCGGCGAGGGCUUAUCUGCUCCGGGCGCUCGCCGACGACCUUCUGCUGCAGGUGGCCGCGAAGAAGACCGCGGCGGAGAUUCGGAGCAGCUUGAAGGCUCGGUUCGUCGGAGCAGAUCGCGUGCGCGCGGCGCGACUGGGCAUGUUGCGUGGGGAGUGGGAGCUCCUGCGCAUGGCGAGCGACGAGUCGCUGGACGCGUUCGCCGGGAAAAUCAGCGGCAUGGCGGCGCGCUACACCGGGCUUGGGGCGACGCUCGACGACGCGGCGAUGGUGAAGAAACUCCUGGACUGCAUCCCGGAUCGCCUGUACGCGGCGGUCGCCGGGAUGGAGCAGUUCUGCGACCUGUCCACGCUCCUGUUCGAGGACGCGCUGGGGCGGCUGAAGGCGUUCGACGAGCGGCUGCGUCGGCGCGGGCAGGCGGGCGGCGAGCGGGCAGACGGUCAGCUCAUGUACACGGCGGCGCAAUGGCGGGCACGGGAGCGGCAGCGCAGCGGAGCUCGGGACGACGACGAUGGGGCGCGCAGCGAGGCCUCGGGCUUCGGGAACCGGCGUGGUCGCUGUUACAAGUGCGGCGACCGUGGGCACUUCAAGCGCGAGUGUCCACAAUGGAAGAAGGCGCCGGCGGCGGAGCACACGAUGAUGGCGGAGGCUGCCGUCGAGGUCGAUGGCCUGCUCUGA